GGAAUCCUUUUGCUCUUGCGGGCUCAAUGGUUGCAAUGUCAUUUGCGCAUAAACUUCAUCGGUCUCCACAUCUGCAUGCAUUGUCACAUUAUGAAGCUGACAAAUUAGUUGAGGAGGUAAGCUUGGAUAAUUCGGUAUGUGGGCAUCAAUUUCCUUGUUUGUUGAUGCAGCCACCUGCUCACUAUGACCCUGUGGAAAGUAAACCACACGACUUCCAACAGCCGGCAACGAGACCAGUGGUCCAGCGCAUGCAUGCC
This 257-nucleotide unclassified non-coding RNA is filed under the name Hevea brasiliensis (rubber tree). Lineage: Eukaryota; Viridiplantae; Streptophyta; Magnoliopsida; Malpighiales; Euphorbiaceae. The record is from RNAcentral.